This is a microRNA precursor of Oryza rufipogon (brownbeard rice), 198 nucleotides long. It matches the Rfam family "MIR812 microRNA precursor family". The record is from Rfam. NCBI's taxonomy places the organism in Eukaryota, Viridiplantae, Streptophyta, Magnoliopsida, Poales, Poaceae.
UUUAAACGCAACUAUAAGUUUUCGUGUCCAAUUUUGAUCGUCCAUCUUAUUUUAAAAAAUUGAUUAAUAUUUUUUUAUUAUUAGAUGAUAAAAUAAAAAUAGUAUUUUAUGUGUGACUUAUGUUUUUUAUUUUUUAAAAUUUCUUUAAAUAAAACGAACGAUUAAAGUUGGAUAUAUAAACUAAUGACUGCACUUGAA